AAGGCCACUUUCAAUAUUUCUACUUUUUGUCUGGCAGAGGGGCCUCUGGGCAUACUUAUUCACCAGGACCAGGGUGUUAACUGCUUAUUCAGAACCCCAUGUAGCCACUACACAUCUGUAGUUUAGCAUAACACAUUAAAAACGCUUACAGAAUGUUAAAGCUAUUAGGCCUCAUUCUCAGGAUCUAAUAGCUAACUGAUAGCUACAUUGGAAUACUAGAAGGACAUCCAUUACUAUGGUUCUGUGAUUUUUUUUUUUUUUAUAGUAAAUAUAAAUAAAUAAAUAAAAACAGUUCUGCAACUUGCCAGUAGGUGGCAGGACAUGUCAAAUUUACACUAAAUGAAACUGAACUGAUUAUCAUAGAAAUUAAUGAAACCAUAGGAAUCAGCUUCAUAAAACAAAAUCACCUGCCUCAUAUUGUGUCAGCCCCCUCUUAGGGCUCCUUCACAUUAAUGUCAGUCCCUGUUAAUUAAUGCCGUUCUCAAAUCUGUUCUUGCCUUUUGCAGAUGGCUUGCAAACAGCUGUAAACAGAUCCCAUUGAUGUCAAUGGGAUUUUUUUUACAGUCCUUCGUCACCCGUUUGCACUCAUUUGGUUCCUAUUCCGUUAUUUUUAAUUAAGAAAAGAUGUUGCAUGCAGUAUUUUUUUCUCUGUCAAGAAUUACAGAUUAGAAGUUUAUGACAAACGGAUGAGCCUGUAAAUUCAUCUGUUUGUGUUUGUUUUGUUUUUUUCAAUCAGUUGUUUUAUCGGUAUUUACUUCUGAGCAUGCUCAGAAGAGGUGUGAGCAAUCAGGAAGUAGCCAGGCAAAAAUAAAAACUGACAAUGAAGGAUACAAAAAAAAUUAAAAACUGAUGCAACAGGAUGCCACUUAAUGGCAUCACUUUGCAUUAGUUUGCAUCCGUUUUUUAGUAUGGUCCAGCUGGAAGAAGUGCAUUCAGCGUGAAGCCAGCCAGCAGUUGCCUCUGAGCGCCCUGCAGCGGGUCUGACACCAGAGACGUCCGUGAGAGCCGACACAGCCGAGUCGUUCCAAUGAAGCCUAGCGACGCCAUGAAGACUUCCAAUUGUCUCCUGUCAAGACCUGUCUACCUCCAGGGCCACGUUCUGGAAAUUGUCUGAAUUCUAGCAGUUGGACCCCUUUGACAUGACACAUAUACCCCAUCAUGUGGAUGUUAUUUCAACUUGGAGUACCCCUUUAACUGAUAUUUACAAACAAUUCGUAGUAUCUCAUACAAAAGAAAGACGAUAUAGUUCACUGCUACGACUUCAACCUCCAGGGACUUCCAUCAGCAGAUCACUUCUAGUCCAGCUGGCCAAUUCAGCGUGAACAUAUUCUGCAGCACUGCGAGAAAUGUGAUGGGAUUCAUAGUACAAGCUGCUUUUCUCUAGGCUACAGACCCCCUCUGAUGUUGCACACUUUCUCAGAUGUCACACACUUUCUCUGCAGAGAGCAGGAGAGGGACAUUAACUGCUGGAAACCUUGGGGGACCUUUAAUAAAACCUGUGCAGAUGGAAUGUGGAGCAGAUGCCUAUAGCAACUAAUCAAAAGCUACUUUAAAAGUUCUAGCAAUUUACUGUUUCUGACCGGAAGAAGCGUCCGCCAGUGACGCGAAACUAGUCGUUUGGUGUACGCCCCCUGCAUUGAGAGCGGCGUCUCUCGUGCUCCCCGCUUACAUUGAAGUCUGUCACCGUUUGUGUAAAGCUCCGAAAUAAAGAAGAUUUUAACCGUACUUGGUGAGUGAGUGCAGCAUUCUCUUCUAACGCUUCAGUGCAUUUAUUGAAGAUACAUUUGGAUACUUCUGUCUUUUUCAUUGAACACUAGCACCCACACCUUCAGUGGACUUGUUCACCCUUCGCAUGAGAUACAUUGUUCCAUAGCACACAGAGUGGGAGAUUGAUACAAUUAAGUAACUGAUCCGAUAUUUUGUACUGCAGUGCCUACUUCACACUUGUGUAUAGACUAUCAAUGGAAAAAGUCUUGCUGUCUUGUAUGCUUCAUAGUAUACAGGCUAUUAAUCAUGGUAU
Hyla sarda is the source of this 2020-nucleotide long non-coding RNA. RefSeq lists it as uncharacterized. The record is from RefSeq and is a predicted model, not a curated record. Lineage: Eukaryota; Metazoa; Chordata; Amphibia; Anura; Hylidae. The transcript has 5 exons.